UACAGAGGUCUCAAGCGUUGUUCGGAUUCAUUGGGCGUAAAGGGCGCGUAGGCGGCGCGCUAAGUCGGGGGUGAAAUUUCGGAGCUUAACUCCGAAACUGCAUUCGAUACUGGCGUGCUUGAGGACUGGAGAGGAGACUGGAAUUUACGGUGUAGCAGUGAAAUGCGUAGAUAUCGUAAGGAAGACCAGUGGCGAAGGCGGGUCUCUGGACAGUUCCUGACACUGAGACACGAAGGCCAGGGGAGCAAACGGG
This 253-nucleotide ribosomal RNA is filed under the name uncultured bacterium. RNAcentral's name for it is "partial 16S ribosomal RNA". It matches the Rfam family "Bacterial small subunit ribosomal RNA", at positions 524 to 776 of the family's 1533-position model. The record is from RNAcentral.